GGGUAUCUUGCUGGAGAUCCAUCUGUACGUGAGGCCUUCUGAAGAUGGGCAGACAGAGCUUGCUGUUCCUCUUUAGAGAGUGAGGAAGACUGUUCUUCUACAUGAAACAUAUUAAUUACUGGUUCCCUGGGUGCUGGGAUAUCUCUUUUCUCAUGGAGCUGCCGGAUUUCUGUGUCAGUACUGUGUGUGGGAGAUGAAGUCCAGCAUCAGAGCCAGGCUAAAGAGGAGAUGGAGACCAGGAGGAUCUCUGCAUCGUAAAGGAAACACGCUGUAUGCUUCCAUACAAUACCACACCUCUAGAAGCCACACUGAAUUUAAGGAGAAACCCUUCUCUUUCCUGGGUUGCUUGCACCAAGCUGCGCAAAUCCUGAUGGCCUUAAGCACGCCAACCUGGUCCCAGUGGAGCUACUCACAUCCUGAGUUAUGCAGAGCAGAAAUUAAACUAUACUCCAAAAGGCUUGCUUCAAAACCCAGCAGUAAGGCUAAGGGCCUCAGUAUCACCUGUUAUCUGAGGGAGAAUAGCUGAAGGAAAAUGUUCCCGUCGUGUUCUCAAGACUGAAAAGCAAAGAUGUGCUGGAGCCCAAUAACAACAAUCGAUGCUUCCAGCCCUGGCUUUGGUGAAAUCCACAUGAGGAUGGGUUAUCUGAAGUUCUCCUGCUACCCCACGUCACUGAACGCCUCUGCAGGGAUGAGCCAAUUCAGCAGAAGUCCUAAGUGAAUUCUGGUGAGAAAAGGAAACAGAGGACAGGCUGCAAUCAAGCUGAAGCGUCGGGCAAACAGAAAUCAGCCUGCUUGUGUGAGAGCUGCACCAUCAAGUGGUGGUGAUGGUGAAGGCCUUCAAAAGCCAGCCUCUUUCCUGCUGCACCUCUGAAGGGAGCUCUCGAAUAGUCUACAGGAAGAAAG
Molecule: long non-coding RNA, 903 nt
Organism: Gallus gallus (chicken)
Lineage: Eukaryota; Metazoa; Chordata; Aves; Galliformes; Phasianidae
Exons: 8
Source: RefSeq, a predicted model, not a curated record